GGGCCCGCACAAGCGGUGGAGUAUGUGGUUUAAUUCGAUGCAACGCGAAGAACCUUACCAGGGUUUGACAUCCUGCGAAUCUCUUGGAAACGAGAGAGUGCCUUCGGGAACGCAGUGACAGGUGGUGCAUGGCUGUCGUCAGCUCGUGUCGUGAGAUGUUGGGUUAAGUCCCGCAACGAGCGCAACCCACGUCGUUAGUUGCCAGCAUUUAGUUGGGCACUCUAGCGAGACCGCCGGUGAUAAACCGGAGGAAGGUGUGGAUGACGUCAAGUCAUCAUGCCCCUUACAUCCUGGGCUACACACGUACUACAAUGCUACGGACAAAGGGCAGCAAACUCGCGAGAGCUAGCAAAUCCCAUAAACCGUGGCUCAGUUCAGAUCGUAGGCUGCAACUCGCCUGCAUGAAGUUGGAAUC
Molecule: ribosomal RNA, 415 nt
Filed under: uncultured bacterium
Lineage: Bacteria
Description: bacterial SSU rRNA
Rfam family: Bacterial small subunit ribosomal RNA
Source: RNAcentral